AUGCAAGUCGAACGAUGAACCACUUCGGUGGGGAUUAGUGGCGAACGGGUGAGUAACACGUGGGCAAUCUGCCCUUCACUCUGGGACAAGCCCUGGAAACGGGGUCUAAUACCGGAUACAACACUCUCGGGCAUCCGAUGAGUGUGGAAAGCUCCGGCGGUGAAGGAUGAGCCCGCGGCCUAUCAGCUUGUUGGUGAGGUAACGGCUCACCAAGGCGACGACGGGUAGCCGGCCUGAGAGGGCGACCGGCCACACUGGGACUGAGACACGGCCCAGACUCCUACGGGAGGCAGCAGUGGGGAAUAUUGCACAAUGGGCGAAAGCCUGAUGCAGCGACGCCGCGUGAGGGAUGACGGCCUUCGGGUUGUAAACCUCUUUCAGCAGGGAAGAAGCGAAAGUGACGGUACCUGCAGAAGAAGCGCCGGCUAACUACGUGCCAGCAGCCGCGGUAAUACGUAGGGCGCGAGCGUUGUCCGGAAUUAUUGGGCGUAAAGAGCUCGUAGGCGGUCUGUCGCGUCGGAUGUGAAAGCCCGGGGCUUAACCCCGGGUCUGCAUUCGAUACGGGCAGACUAGAGUGUGGUAGGGGAGAUCGGAAUUCCUGGUGUAGCG
This 609-nucleotide ribosomal RNA is filed under the name Actinomycetales bacterium A267. RNAcentral's name for it is "bacterial SSU rRNA". It matches the Rfam family "Bacterial small subunit ribosomal RNA", at positions 55 to 680 of the family's 1533-position model. Lineage: Bacteria; Bacillati; Actinomycetota; Actinomycetes; Actinomycetales. The record is from RNAcentral.